This 233-nucleotide ribosomal RNA is filed under the name uncultured bacterium. RNAcentral's name for it is "partial 16S ribosomal RNA". It matches the Rfam family "Bacterial small subunit ribosomal RNA", at positions 794 to 1025 of the family's 1533-position model. The record is from RNAcentral.
UCCACGCCGUAAACGAUGUCAACUAGCCGUUGGGCCUAUUAAAAGGUUUAGUGGCGCAGCUAACGCGAUAAGUUGACCGCCUGGGGAGUACGGUCGCAAGAUUAAAACUCAAAGGAAUUGACGGGGGCCCGCACAAGCGGUGGAGCAUGUGGUUUAAUUCGAUGCAACGCGAAGAACCUUACCACUCCUUGACAUCCUGCGAACUUUCUAGAAAUAGAUUGGUGCCUUCGGGA